RNAcentral lists this ribosomal RNA (253 nucleotides) under uncultured bacterium. RNAcentral describes it as "partial 16S ribosomal RNA". It matches the Rfam family "Bacterial small subunit ribosomal RNA", at positions 524 to 776 of the family's 1533-position model. The record is from RNAcentral.
UACAGAGGGGGCAAGCGUUAUUCGGAAUUAUUGGGCGUAAAGGGCGCGUAGGCGGCCUGACAAGUGGAUGGUGAAAUCCCUCGGCUCAACUGAGGAACUGCCUUUGAAACUGCAAGGCUUGAGGCCGGGAGGGGGUAGCGGAAUUCCCAAUGUAGCGGUGAAAUGCGUAGAUAUUGGGAGGAACACCAGUGGCGAAGGCGGCUACCUGGACCGGUUCUGACGCUGAGGCGCGAAAGCGUGGGUAGCAAACAGG